AGUAGGAAGUGAAGAAUUAACGAUUCUGCAGAUUACGACUAUCACGCGGAUGGUAAGCAGUUCUGUGUGCUUAGUGCAAGUUUUUGUACGUUCUUGAUAUCGUAAAAGAUAACUCACAUUUGUAUGCAGUUGGAAUAAGAUAAGAUACUUUAAAUUAAGUGUAUACUUUCUUGCACAUCAAAAGUAACGUAAGUGUAGUAAGUAAUACAGUAUAAAUUCAAAUAAGUAAAUGACAUUAUGCAAAUGGUUUAAGAGUUACUGUCAUUGACCCGUCUAUCUACAAUCUGUAUGCAGCGUCUCCUCAAGUACUUCGGACACGUGGCCCGACAAAAUCCUGAGAACUUGGAAAAAUUAAUAGUUGUAGGUCACGUGGAAGGAAAAAGAAGUCGAGGAAGAUUGUCAACCAGGUGGACGGACAUUAUCAAGGAGGCCACAAACACCAGCGUCCCGGGCGCCAUUAAGCAGGCCGAAUGCAGGCAACAUUGGAGGAAGCUGGUGCAAAAACUGGACCAAGGUGGUCACGAGCCUCAGUAAUGAGGAAACGACAAAGAAGAAGAAGAAGAAUUGAACAGCGCCCCUAGCGGCAAACGUUCCAACUCCAUACAAAUUUGAGUUAACUUUUACGCUAUCGAGUACGUUAAGAAACUCGCACUAAGUACACUGAUUGAGUCGGUGAGUCGUCACCGUCGCUACCAGGGGUGUUAAAGUUUAACCAAACUAUUUGGUGUCAGGACAAAAUGUUCAACGAUAUUUUGUGUUCCAUAAUUAAAUUGGACGAUACCUUUUGCCUGAGAAACAUAUUAGUACAGGAUCCCUGGUACACUUUUCAUCAUUUAUUACUAACAAGCUGAUUUUUCGUGAGUACCUUCCUUUUGAUUAGACUCCCAACUUUUUUCCUUACAGUAACUUUGGUAAAUGGUAGCUUACUAGGUGUAGCAAGGAUACAAUAUGUUGAUUUCACGAAUUAAAAAAAAUAUUACUAACCGAAUUUUUCUUUGUUAAUGAAAAAAUAUUAUAUAUUAUAUUAUAUAUUAGUUGUGUCUACAUCUACAACAGAUACGUCGAUCUUGAAGUAUCAAUAAUUUGCUAACCACUUAACACCAGGUGGGCUGUGAGCUCGUCCACCCAUCUAAGCAAUAAAAAAAAAAAAGAUCCCAAAAAUAUAUUAAGCCAAUCUUGACUAAAGCCAAUUAAAUUAAGAUAAGCCCACGUAUCGUGCAACACGAAGCGUUCUUCGUCCAGGAAGUCACGUCUCCAAAUGUCUCUAGAAACGCGGCUGGGACUUCCGUCGGUGAUUCUAUAUCAACUUAUUGACAUUCCUGUUGCAUCCGCACUACCUAAGCUUGAUUCGGUAACGCUCUGUAUUAUAAAACUGUUGUAUAGUACUACUGUUUGAUAAAUCAUCAAUUAUACUUGUUUGUAUAAUGUUCAUGUUUUUGAUUUGUUUGAGCAACUCAUGAAUUGCGGUUAUGGGUUGAUCGAAAUUAUAGGCACAACCUUAUCCUUUGGUAUCAACCCGUGUGGAUUCUUUACCACCACCAGUCAAGAUAGGCAUUAGAGAAAAAAUAAAGAAACUGUAGAUAUGGCUUAUGGACGAUAAAGAAGUAAUAGUAGUCGUCGACCAAUGAGGCCAUAUGUGCAAAGAUAAAUAGACUAUUUUCACGGAAAUUCCAGAGUCAAAAUAAUCCAGAAAAAAUUUAUUUAAGAACAAUAAUUCUAUACCCGAAUUUUUUUUGUGAUGUCUUGAGAUUAUGUUUAGUGUAAGCAAUUUUAUUCUAAUUGAAAACAGCUAUAUUGCACUUUUUGAGUGUUUGUAAUAGAGUAAUCAACAUUUAUAACGAUGCUUAUUUGUGUAAAUUUGAUGAUUAAAAACAUCAUUCAGCAAUUUAACAUUUGACAGUUGCGAAAUUGACCAGAAAGAAAACCAACUCAACAAAAUUACGAUAGGAUUUGAGAAAAUAAUAAUAAAAUUUAAAAGUAUAAUUGUGUAAUGUACCCAAACUUAAAAAAAAGAAUUACUGUUACAAGCGUGUUAAGAAUGGAGAUACUGUUGCAAGUGAAUUUGUUGAUGGUGUUUUUUAAAUCAAGCAUGAUUAAACAGAGGUGAAGCCAUUCCAAAAUCUAAGACGGAAGUCAUCAGCAAUACAAGGCAGUGAUGAUACAAUCACAUGUAAUGAAAUCCAAAGAACGAUCAAAUAGAAGCACUACUGCGAAUACUUAUGAUUGAGAAUGUACAAAAGAACACGGAGGUCCUCAUCACACAUGGAAAGGAAAUUAUUGAAACGGGAAUGGUCACUUACAACUGUUUUUUCUUUCUAGCUGAAAGUGUCCAUUUCCGUUUUGAUACUAUGCCUAUCAUAUCUAAUAGCGAUGUCCAUCUUCACCAUUACAACCGCCCUCAUCAAAAGGUCCAUAGAUGAAAAGCCAUCGCGAUUGCCAACUAAUGAAUCAAGAUAACGGAUGACCAUGUAUUUUCUUAAAUAGUUUAGUAAGUUCAUGAUGUCGUAUAUAGAACAUGAAAACUGUAUAGAAAUGUCAGAAAUUGUAUAAUGAAAAUAAACGAGAUUUAACUUUUAA
Molecule: long non-coding RNA, 2577 nt
Organism: Bombyx mori (domestic silkworm)
Lineage: Eukaryota; Metazoa; Arthropoda; Insecta; Lepidoptera; Bombycidae
Exons: 2
Source: RefSeq, a predicted model, not a curated record